Molecule: long non-coding RNA, 1351 nt
Filed under: Marmota monax (woodchuck)
Lineage: Eukaryota; Metazoa; Chordata; Mammalia; Rodentia; Sciuridae
Source: RNAcentral
CGCGUUCAGGCUGGAGUUAAUGCUAAGUAUAGAAAGCUACGCAAACUGAAAGGACAACUAUUUGGAAAAACCUGGUCCCAUUAUGUGAGAAUCAGCUGCCAAAGCAGGUGGAAGGUGCCAUGAGACCAAAGAAAAGACUCGGGCUUGCACAAAGUGCAGUUUACCAGGGAUUUAAAACAGAAGUGCAUCUCGAGCAGCAGCUAGUGAUGAUGGGUCCUCGCACACUAGGGCAAGAAGAAGGGAUUUAUAUACUAAGCUAGACAAAAGUGGGCUGCUACUAUCCAGACAGUACCUGACCUUUCUCAAGAGCUUGGUAUGUUCGCAUGCCAGUUAAAAAACUGUUGGUCAGCACAACAUGCUCUUCUCUUGAGAGCUUGGUUAGUCCUAUAGGAUUUGGAAUGCACAUCAGGGUCACCUGGCAGGCAAAAUGGCAGUUAUAACCAGGAUGGUGUCGUCAUGCAAGCUGGAUCUCUGCAGCAAUUAUCAGUUCUUUGGGAAGCAAGAGGUGGUAGAAGAGGGGAGAAGCACCUUAGUUCACUCCCCAGCUCAGCUGUUUCUAAGUCUUAAUCUGCUUUGCACACACACAGGAGGGAAUGUGUGAACCUGGUGGAAGAGGGGAGUGAGCUAAAUUUCCUGCCUCCACAGUGGGAGGUGAGUUUCAGUGCCUGAAACUCAAACUAGAAGCUUCAGGAAGAUCAGAAAAGAAUGGGAAAAACAAGUUGUUUGGGAAUCUAGGCAGCUGCCACUGAUCUAGGGCUGUGAGCCAAGGCAGGGCGCCAGGGGAAUUUCACCCAGGAAAUCCCAGAAAAGUAGCCUUCCUGCCUUGUGAUGGCUCAUACAAACCCAUAAUUUAUACACGGCUUCCAACACUCUCUCUCCCCCUGCCUAUGGUGCUGGGGGUUGAAUCCAGGGUUGCUAUAAUAUUAAGCCACAUCCCUAGCCCUUUUUAUUUUUUAUUCUAAGACAGGGUCUCAGUUGCCCAGCUGGCCUCAAACUUUCAAUCCUCCAGCCUCAGCUUCCACCUCCUGAGUCACUGAGAUUACAGGCAUGUACUCGCACAUACCCUGAACAUCUUUUAGAGAACUGUACUGAGGCCCCUCAAACAGUGGCCAACACAGCAUCAACAUCCUGGAUUGUUUUUCUGUUGCCUUUUUUAAAAUGUAUAACUCAGUGGUUCUGGAUUUUUUUAGCAGUGAUUUUCCUAAUACGUGUUUUCCUAAUCUGGACCCACAGGCAAUGCUGUGAUCAGUUAUUUCACAGCACAUAACCAAGGUCACUGACAGCCUCACACAGUAGGGGCCUUAUGACCCUGUCUUGCCAGUUUCACAUUUUAGGGUCUGUUACAACAUCC